GUACGUGGCUGGCGUUGGCCGCCGCGUCACCAUUCUCCUCUUGUCGUUGUUGCUCCGGGGCCUUGAUCGCCCCGGUUUUUUUUG
RNAcentral lists this non-coding RNA (84 nucleotides) under Trinickia caryophylli. RNAcentral's name for it is "Burkholderia caryophylli Burkholderia sRNA 16 (Bc_KC_sr1)". It matches the Rfam family "Burkholderia sRNA 16 (Bc_KC_sr1)". Rfam says of the family: Identified by RNA-seq, RACE and Northern blot. The record is from Rfam by way of RNAcentral. Lineage: Bacteria; Pseudomonadati; Pseudomonadota; Betaproteobacteria; Burkholderiales; Burkholderiaceae.